RNAcentral lists this ribosomal RNA (513 nucleotides) under uncultured Gram-positive bacterium. RNAcentral's name for it is "bacterial SSU rRNA". It matches the Rfam family "Bacterial small subunit ribosomal RNA", at positions 8 to 521 of the family's 1533-position model. The record is from RNAcentral.
AGAGGUUGAUCCUGGCUCAGGAUGAACGCUGGCGGCGUGCUUAACACAUGCAAGUCGAGCGAAGCGGUUAAGUUGAUUUCUUCGGAUUGAUUCUUGACUGACUGAGCGGCGGACGGGUGAGUAACGCGUGGGUGACCUGCCCCAUACCGGGGGAUAACAGCUGGAAACGGCUGCUAAUACCGCAUAAGCGCACAGAGCUGCAUGGCUCGGUGUGAAAAACUCCGGUGGUAUGGGAUGGGCCCGCGUCUGAUUAGGCAGUUGGCGGGGUAACGGCCCACCAAACCGACGAUCAGUAGCCGGCCUGAGAGGGCGACCGGCCACAUUGGGACUGAGACACGGCCCAAACUCCUACGGGAGGCAGCAGUGGGGAAUAUUGCACAAUGGGCGAAAGCCUGAUGCAGCGACGCCGCGUGAAGGAUGAAGUAUUUCGGUAUGUAAACUUCUAUCAGCAGGGAAGAAAAUGACGGUACCUGACUAAGAAGCCCCGGCUAACUACGUGCCAGCAGCCGCGGU